AUUGAACGCUGGCGGCAGGCCUAACACAUGCAAGUCGAGCCAGCGGCAGACGGGUGAGUAAUGUCUGGGACACUGCCUGAUGGAGGGGGAUAACUACUGGAAACGGUCGCUAAUCCCGCAUACCAUCCGAUUUGCCCAGAUGGGAUUAGCUGGUAGGUUGGGUAACGGAUCACCUAGGCGACGAUCCCUAGCUGGUCUGAGAGGAUGACCAGCCACACUGGAACUGAGACACGGGCGAGACUCCUACGGGAGGCAGGAGUGGGGAAUAGUGCACAAUGGGCGCAAGCCUGAUGCAGCCAUGCCGCGUGUGUGAAGAAGGCCUUCGGGUUGUAAAGCACUUUCAGCGGGGAGGCGUUACCCGCAGAAGAAGCACAGGCUAACUCCGUGCCAGCAGCCGCGGUAAUUC
This 406-nucleotide ribosomal RNA is filed under the name uncultured bacterium. Its description in RNAcentral is "partial 16S ribosomal RNA". It matches the Rfam family "Bacterial small subunit ribosomal RNA", at positions 30 to 526 of the family's 1533-position model. The record is from RNAcentral.